GACGAACGCUGGCGGCGUGCUUAACACAUGCAAGUCGAACGAAGCGGCGAACGGGUGAGUAACGCGUAAUCAACCUGCCCUUCAGAGGGGGACAACAGUUGGAAACGACUGCUAAUACCGCAUACUGAAGGAGGGGAUUGCGCCUGGUUGGCUAGUUGGAGGGGUAACGGCCUACCACGGCGGUGAUCAGUAGCCGGUCUGUGAGGAUGGACGGCCGCAUUGGGACUGAGGACCGGCCCAGACUCCUACGGGAGGCAGCGGUGGGGAAUCUUCCGCAAUGGACGAAAGUCGGACGGAGCAACGCCGCGUGAGGGAUGACGGCCUUCGGGUUGUAAAGCUCUGUUAAUCGGGACGCGGUACCGGAAUAGAAAGCCACGGCUAACUACGUGCCAGCCGCCGCGGUAAUUC
RNAcentral lists this ribosomal RNA (408 nucleotides) under uncultured bacterium. RNAcentral describes it as "partial 16S ribosomal RNA". It matches the Rfam family "Bacterial small subunit ribosomal RNA", at positions 28 to 526 of the family's 1533-position model. The record is from RNAcentral.